This is a non-coding RNA of Xenopus laevis (African clawed frog), 74 nucleotides long. The record is from Rfam. NCBI's taxonomy places the organism in Eukaryota, Metazoa, Chordata, Amphibia, Anura, Pipidae.
AAAUGUCAGUGAUGCACUUCUUUACCUACAUUGUUUGAUCUAAAUGAUAACAUCUUGUUAAGACUGAGACAUUC